UUGAACUGCUUCCUGGCAGACCUCUAUGAACUUUCACACUUUCAUUCCAGGCGUCUAUAAAACUUUGUGAAAUUGAAAGUUUUACAUUCUGCAGUGAUCAUUUUCAUUGGGAGAGCAGUUCUAACAACAGGAAGGAACUCUAUACCCCACCCGAGCUAAACAAUGUGGAGUAACCCACAUGGAUAACACAGCUGCCUGCUCUGGUUUCUGCAGAGAGAAACAAACAAAAAAAAAGAAAAUCGAGAAAAGGGAAGGACAGCCUCAAGGAGGAGAAGAAGAUGGUGGUGAAGAGGGAAAAGCUUUUUUACCUUCCUAUCUUGCACUCUCUCUUCUCAGUCCCUCCCGUGGUGGAAAAAAGCUUUAGGGUAUUUUUAGCUUUUUCUUCCCCUGCGGCAAGAUGGAGAGGCUGACCCCGUGCUGCCCUCAA
Long non-coding RNA from Dicentrarchus labrax (European seabass), 427 nucleotides. RefSeq lists it as uncharacterized. The transcript is spliced from 2 exons. The record is from RefSeq and is a predicted model, not a curated record. NCBI's taxonomy places the organism in Eukaryota, Metazoa, Chordata, Actinopteri, Moronidae.